This is a non-coding RNA of Pelobates cultripes (western spadefoot toad), 250 nucleotides long. The record is from the annotation of a GenBank genome assembly. Lineage: Eukaryota; Metazoa; Chordata; Amphibia; Anura; Pelobatidae.
CUCAGGAAAACAAUGCUUGUCUGUGAAACACACUCACUUCCACUUUGAACGGGAGUGCUAAGAGGAUUUGUAAAAAUGCUGAAUUCUCUUGAAAUUGGCACUUUUAUAAAAUAAACCAGAGGGGACAGUUAAGUGCUAAACAACUUCAACAAGCGUAUGUUCUUUAGGGGACUGGAGUGUCUCUUUAACUCAGUUGGCUUGCAUUUUUCCUUAUAGUUUCUGUCAUGUAAUCAUAUAAUGUCAUUCAAAC